Molecule: ribosomal RNA, 159 nt
Filed under: Mantidactylus majori (Ivohimanita Madagascar frog)
Lineage: Eukaryota; Metazoa; Chordata; Amphibia; Anura; Mantellidae
Description: partial 16S ribosomal RNA
Source: RNAcentral
UUCUUUAAAUGGGGACUUGUAUCAACGGCAUCACGAGGGUUUUACUGUCUCCUUUUUCUAAUCAGCGAAACUAAUCUCCCCGUGAAGAAGCGGGGAUAUUUAUAUAAGACGAGAAGACCCCAUGGAGCUUCAAACCCAAUUACACCCCCCCCCCCCCCC